Molecule: ribosomal RNA, 484 nt
Filed under: uncultured bacterium
Lineage: Bacteria
Description: partial 16S ribosomal RNA
Rfam family: Bacterial small subunit ribosomal RNA
Source: RNAcentral
AUUGAACGCUGGCGGCAGGCCUAACACAUGCAAGUCGAGCGGAUGAAGGGAGCUUGCUCCUGGAUUCAGCGGCGGACGGGUGAGUAAUGCCUAGGAAUCUGCCUGGUAAUGGGGGAUAACGUCCGGAAACGGGCGCUAAUACCGCAUACGUCCUGAGGGAGAGAGUGGGGGAUCUUCGGACCUCACGCUAUCAGAUGAGCCUAGGUCGGAUUAGCUAGUUGGUGGGGUAAAGGCCUACCAAGGCGACGAUCCGUAACUGGUCUGAGAGGAUGAUCAGUCACACUGGAACUGAGACACGGUCCAGACUCCUACGGGAGGCAGCAGUGGGGAAUAUUGGACAAUGGGCGAAAGCCUGAUCCAGCCAUGCCGCGUGUGUGAAGAAGGUCUUCGGAUUGUAAAGCACUUUAAGUUGGGAGGAAGGGCAGUAAGUUAAUACCUUGCUGUUUUGACGUUACCAACAGAAUAAGCACCGGCUAACUUCGUG